Molecule: small RNA, 126 nt
Filed under: Lutispora thermophila
Lineage: Bacteria; Bacillati; Bacillota; Clostridia; Lutisporales; Lutisporaceae
Also listed under: 1 other name
Description: c-di-AMP sequence
Rfam family: c-di-AMP riboswitch aptamer (ydaO/yuaA leader)
About the family: This family represents a conserved RNA structure found upstream of the ydaO and yuaA genes in Bacillus subtilis and related genes in other bacteria. The ydaO/yuaA element is thought to act as a genetic "off" switch for the ydaO and yuaA genes in its native state. It is believed that the element may be triggered during osmotic shock leading to activation of ydaO, a predicted amino acid transporter gene, and members of the yuaA-yubG operon which code for KtrA and KtrB K+ transporters.
Source: RNAcentral
CGUACUGUUUUGCUGAAUCUCAUUUAUGAGAGCGGAGGAUAAAAAUGGGGUGAAUUGGGAUAAACCCAUAGGGCACUCUCUGUCCGAACCCGACAACUAACUUCGUAAGCGUAAGAGAGGAGAGUA